Molecule: long non-coding RNA, 1148 nt
Organism: Brassica napus (rape)
Lineage: Eukaryota; Viridiplantae; Streptophyta; Magnoliopsida; Brassicales; Brassicaceae
Exons: 5
Source: RefSeq, a predicted model, not a curated record
CGACACGUGUCUCUCUUUAAUGAAACGCUGUGCUGCAUCACAGUUCCGUGCGGGCCUUUAUGUUUUCGGAUGGGCCUCGGUUUGUUCGUCGCGGCCCGUGAAUAGCAUCAGAAAGCGACAUCCCGCUUGACCUAACUAUCGCCUCCGUUCGUCCAACUCUGAUUUCGGCGGCGAGAAGAACGAUCGAUCAUUAUCCAUCGCUCUGUAACGGACCUCAUCUUUAAUGGCAUUAAUACGGACGCUCAGAUCGAGCCCUUCAAUGCGUCGUCUCCUUUGGCGUAAUCUCCUCUAUAAAUUGGGUGUUUUUUUCCGAUUUGAAGACCGGGAAGUGUUCAUCUGUUGUGGAGGCUAGGCUGCUGAGGUACUGGGAGGCUAGGAACGUUAAGCGGGGUUGGGAGCUUAUGUGGGUGGAUAUGCUGUUGGUCGAUGUUAAUGCAACCAUGAUGCAGGCCACAAUCAGCGCUCACCGUGUCCCACGGUACCAAGAAAGACUUACUGCCGGUGCAAUGUAUUCCAUGGCUGAUUUUGAUGUCGCUAGAUGUGCUCAGAACUUCCGACUUUGUGAUUCUUCAUUGAUGAUCCGGUUUAAUGAGUCUACUUCUUUUGACGAGAUAGAUGACCGGUCUCUACGUUGCCUGAGGAAGCAUUCUGGUUCCGUGACCAGUCGGAGCUGAUUGGUUUGGCCAAUACAAGCACACAGUUACCAGACAUCAUAGGAGAGAUCCUUAGCGUCAAGAGUACUGUUACUGACCCUCCGGAGGAGAAGAAUCGUGCUACGCCAUGACGAUCAACAAGAGCCAAGGCCAAAGUCUGAAACAAGUUGCUUUAUAUCUUCCUCGCCCUGUUUUUACUCACGAUCAGUUGUACGUUGCUAUGUCUCGACUCUCGAGUAACAACGUUUAUAAGGAGAUCUUCAAGGAUGUUCAGACAACUCAGUGAAAGCAACCGGCCCUACUGCUCGGAUGUUUUGGACACAAUUCACGAAGACUACAAUCAUCAUCCAAUCCAAUGCUUCGGCAAAAACAUCAGUUGCAAGACUAUAAUCCCAAUUAUUUUGACUCUUCACUCUGUUUUCUUUUUACAUUUCCUCCGCAUACGACUCUUAUUUUAAACUACGAGUUUUUCUUAUGAGAAAAAAUAUACCCUUA